UCAUUACCGAGUUCAUGCCCUCACGGGUAGAUCUCCCACCCUAUGUUAUCAUUACCUUCGUUGCUUUGGCGGGCCGUCAGGCUUCGGCUAGGCUAUCGGCUCCGGCUGGUAAGCGCCCGCCAGAGGACCCUAAACUCUGAAUGUUAGUGUCGUCUGAGUACUAUCUAAUAGUUAAAACUUUCAACAACGGAUCUCUUGGUUCUGGCAUCGAUGAAGAACGCAGCGAAAUGCGAUAAGUAAUGUGAAUUGCAGAAUUCAGUGAAUCAUCGAAUCUUUGAACGCACAUUGCGCCCCUUGGUAUUCCGAGGGGCAUGCCUGUUCGAGCGUCAUUACAACCCUCAAGCACUGCUUGGUAUUGGGCCCCGCUGCUUAACGCCGCGGGCCUUAAAAUCAGUGGCGGCGCCGCUGGGCUCUGAGCGUAGUAAAUUUCCUCGCUACGGAGACCUGGCGGUGGUAGCCAUCAACCCCCA
RNAcentral lists this ribosomal RNA (470 nucleotides) under Ascomycota sp. GM 01-26. RNAcentral describes it as "eukaryotic LSU rRNA". The stretch from base 176 to 329 matches the Rfam family "5.8S ribosomal RNA". The record is from RNAcentral. Lineage: Eukaryota; Fungi; Ascomycota.